AGAGACAGAAAGAAAUUAAAACAGUCUCUGUCCUCCAAGAGAUCACCCUCUUACGGGUGUUGGGUAGGGGAGAUUGAGAAAUGGAGAGGCAGGACUAUGAACCAUGUGGUGAGUGCUGAACUAGUCAAACAUAAACUGCAGCAAAAGCUGCAGGAAGGAGGCUCUAAGCAGGCUACAUUAUCUGGUUUGAGAAAACUUAUAAAGUCUGAGACGAACAGAGAGUGGGGAAAAUGCCUCACAAGAAGGAGAACAAAAAGGUGUUCUAAGCAAAGUAGUUUAAAGGCAGCGUUAAAGGUCACACUGUCUCAGGGUUAUAAAAUUGUGCAUUUCAGAUGAGGUAUGUGGGGUGGUGGUUUAAGUAAGAGAGGAAGUUGAAGAGUUGUUUAGGCAUAUGAAAGAGGUUUUUUUUUUAGUUUCAUUUUCUAAGGCACAGAGAUCCACUGAAGAUUUUAAAUUGAGAAGCAUCACUGAUUAGACCUGGGUGACUCUGGUGUAAAGUGACAGUUUGAGAGUUCCUAAUACAAUUUGUUUCCUCUAACAUGUCACAUCAAAUUAGAUUUUUAAAAAAGGAAGUAAAAACCUGCAAAUGAGGAAUGCUGUACUAAAUUAGUACACAGAGUUACUCAUGGAACUGGGGAAAAUGAUCUAGAAUUUGAGACAAUAUCCUCUGGGGAUAUGGGAUGUACAGGGGAUAGAAACUGAAGUAUCCAGUCCCACAGUGUAAACCAAGAGGCAAAGACAGGUAUUUGUUAAGUACAACAAGAGCCAAGAGUCACACCAGGUUCUGGCAGGUCUCCUCACUUUUUCUUCUCCCACACCCCUCACCCCAUCACCACCAUCUGCUUUGGGACCACUGGAGCUAAUCUUGAGUGAGUCUCUACAAAAUUCCAGGCUCCGGCUCAUCUCAUGUUCCCUUGAGCUGCUUUCCAGGAAGCUGCCACACAGCUUUUUCUGGGGCCAUCGCCUAUCUCCCUGCUUCCAGGAAUCCUUUCGCUGGGCCCUCUGAACUCAGUGCACCUCCACUACCCCCCAGCCUUUGCAGUAGCUGCUCUUUACCCCUUGCUGUAAUAGAAACCUGGCUCUCAUCUGGAGCCACAGCUGUCCCCACAGACCUCACACUACUGGAAGCUGGGAUGUGGCAGAUGUCCUCCUUGCUCUUGGUGUUGCUCCCUCACCCUAAAAACACUCAACUUGGAAUCCUUUGUUAUUCACUACUUCUAGCUGCAAGCAUCUAUUGAUCCCUGAGGCACUCACUUCAUUUCUUGAAGAUUUUAACUCAUCAUUCACUGUUACUCUGUGACUUCUUUGGUCAUGCUUCUUGGUGAGUUCAGUAAACGGACAGGUAAUUCUUCCAAAAGCCUGGGCUCCCAGGUUCCUUGUUUUCUUCUUGAAUGACCAGGUUAUUUCUCUUAGUAACUCACCCAAUGGACAUACUCAAAAGAUGUUCUUAUUUCCAACAAUUUUAUCACCUUCAGAAAGCUGUAGUACUGUAUCUUAUUCUUCAACCACUUUCCAGCUUGCUCGUUCUAGAACCCUAAUUCAAAUAUUCCUUCAACACCACUCCCAACGCUCAAUUUUUCAUACCCUGUUCACUGCUUCUCAUUUCCUUAGUGUUUCUUCUUUGGUUUUUAUUGUGCUCAAAGCCCAAGAUCAACUAUUAAAUCCUUCCAUUACAUUUAUCAAAUUCUUUGCCUUUCUUUUUUCUUUUUUUUUUGUACUGGGAAUUGAAUUCAGGACCUUGCACUUGCAAGGCAGGCGGUGGCACCACUGAGCUAAAUCCCAGCUUUGCCUUUCUUGCUUGUAUUAUUCACUAAACUAAACUACAAUCUUACUUAAGUACUAUCUUCAGUGACUUCAUGCACACACCAUCACAAGUUAUCAGAGCUAGAAAAAUAUCACACAAACAUUCAUGAACAUUAACCUCUGGUGGGCCUGGGCAGUCAUGGUGCAUAUGCCUCAAUCAGUCACUCAGCUAUGUCUUGGGACGAUGACUCCAUGCCUUUUCUCCAUUCUGACUGAGUCGUUGACUCUGCUUCCUGUUUCAGUGAGGGAAUAGAAGCAAACAGAAGUCUACCACAAGUGUGCCUUUUCCAUCAACUCCUCCACUUGCAUCUGUACCUAAAUAUUUUACUGUUUUAGCUCAUCUGUGCUGCUGGCUAAGGCCACUCUCACUAUACAGCACUGGAUGGCAUCCUCAAAGGUUGACUGAUAACUGCUCUACAUGUGUACCUCUUUUUUUUAUUCCUAUCAUCAAAUUCUACCCUCUUUAUUGGACUUUCUCAUCAUACAGUAUCUCAUCAGAAUUCUAUUAACACUUUCACCUUAAAAAAACAAAUCUCUUCACUCUAAUUCCUCUUCUAGCUACUUCAUUUUUCUUCCUGUGAAGCACCCACAUUCACUGUCUAUGUUCCUCUUGUUCCACUUCAGUCACUCACUCCCACCACUCCAUCCAAAGGCUUCCUCUGUGGGGCUAAAGCCAGUGAUCAACUCUUGGUCCUCAUCUUACUUACUAUCAGUCCCAUCAGACAGCAUCUGACAGACUUGAUCAGUCUCACACAAGAUAAUUCUUUUGGUCUCUUAUUUAGCUUUCAACCUACCACACUCUAAAUACUCCUCCUUCCUCUUUGACCAUUCCUGUUUCGUUUACAUCUUCCCCUGCCUCUAAGUUUCAUACUGUUUGAAUUAGGCUUUGGUUCUCUUCUCUACCCUCACAAUCAAAGUGACCUCAUUCAGACCAUGACUUCAAAUAUCACCCAUAUGCUGAUGACUUCCAAGUUUAUAUCUUUAGCCUAGACCAUUCCCUGAACAAAGUCCUAUAAAACCAUCAAGUAGACACCUCGACUUAGAUGCCUAAUAAGCACCUAAAACCUAGUAUCUAAAACUGUGCUCCUGAGUUUCUCUACAAAUCUGCUUUUUUGGUAGUCUUUCCUUCUCAGCAAAUGGCAUCUCCAUUUUUCCAGAUGCUCAGACCAUCCUGCACUGUCCUACCUUAAAAACAGAACCAGAAUCGGACUAUUUCCUGCCAUGUCUACUGCUUUUUUCUGGUUCAUCUCUUGCAUAAUUUCUUGUAAUAGUCUCGAACUGGUUUCCUUUGCACCCUCACUUUUCCUGCACACCUUUCUCACCAUAACAGUCUUAAGUGAUCCUGUGAAAACAGGUUAAACCCUGUCCCUUCUCUAUUUGAAACCCUCUGUGACUCCUUAUCACUCUCACAGUAAAAGUGAAAGUCUAACAACGACCUGGUCCUCCAUAGCCUCUCUUCUGGCUGUUACUGGCAGUAGGAGCAAUUCUGCUAUAAUUGUUUGGAUGUUCUUCCCCAGAUGCCACAUGCCCCAAUCCCUCAAUUCUUUGAAAUCACAUGAAAAUAUAAACCUCUCAGUGAAAUCUUUCCUGAUCUCUUGGCUAAAAUUACAUACCUUCCUCUUUCCUCUGACAUCACUUCCUCUUCCCUACUUAAUUUUUUCACUUAGUGCUCACAAAGAAAACUAUAUAUGUUACUUUUUGGUUUGUAGUAGUUUUUACCCCUAUGCAAUAAUGUCUGUCGGCUCCAUGAGGACAGGGACUUGUCAGUUUUGUUCACUGCUUAUGCACCUAUCAGAAUAGUGCCUGGCACAUAACAAUUAUUCAAUAAGUACUAACUGAAUAAAUGAAUAAAAGCUAUCCACUCCUUGAAGCAACAAUAAGAUGUAUGGAGGGAAUCAAAGCAUGAUCAAGAUGAAAUUAAAUGGUAUGGCAACAAUGUAGCAGCAGAAGAAAAAAAAUCCUUAGAGCAGUAAAACCCAACUAACUAAAGAAAACACAUCAAGAAAAAGGAAAAAGGCUAGGGGUGGAGAGGUGUAGUUUGUAGUAGAGCAUGAGAGGGGUGGGGUGGCAGAGAGAGAGGCACAUCAAAAGACAAGGAGCACAACACAUACGAAAAUAAAAGUCAAUAGAAAAUUCCUAAAUUCUUCAUAACUGAUUCAAGCUACUGAACUUAAUAACAGUACAGUCAGGCCGGGGAUUUAGCUCAGUGGUUCUGCCGCCUGCUCUGCAAGCGCAAUGACCGGAGUUCAAUCCCCAGUACCAAAAAAAGAAACACAGUAGUCAAUAAAAAGCUUGAAUAUGAGAUGAUAAAUAGCUCUGCAAGAUAAAACAAAGGAUUAUUACAGGACCAAACAAACACAUAAACACAUCUUCAAAACGGGAUAUAUAUACACAUAUAUGAAAUUUAACAAGGAAUAAGACAUAUGCAGUGCACUGCAGGAAAUAAAAUUUAGGACGUAAAGGCUGAGUAUAAUUCUAGUGAAUGAAGUUGUAAAAAAGAAAUAGAAGCAAUCAGAUAAAAAUAAAACUUAUCUAACAUAAGGCUAACUGGUAUUCCUGAAGUAGGGAUCCUAACAAAUGGAAUAGCAGAUAUACUCAAAGAUAUCAUACAUUUCCCAGAAAUACAGAGAGCACUGGACCUGGAGAUUAAAAGAGCAUAUAUAUUACUAAUACAUAGCUUCAUUUGGACUUCAAAAGAUAAAUCUUUAGGCAUUCCCUACAUAAAAGAAAUUCACCUAAAUGGGGAAAAAUCAGGCCAGACCCAGACUAUCCCUUACUAGAACAACAAUUUCUACAAAGUUCUAAGGGAAUGGAAAAAGCAUGACCAGAUAAUAUACAGGCUGAAUAUCCCAUAUCCACAAUGCUUGAGACCAGAAGUGUUUUAGACAUUAAAAUAUCUGCAUAUAUAUAUAAUCAGACAUCUCAUGGAGGGGAUCUAAGUCUAAACACAAAUUCAUUGUAUUUCAUACACAUUUUACUCAUGUAUACUUAUGUUAACUUAAUACUGUUUUGUUUUGUUUUUGUACCGGGGAUCGAACUAGGGACCUUGCGCUUGCAAGGCAGGCGCUGGAACCACUGAGCUACAUCCCCGGCCCAAUACUGUGUUUUUAAUGUUGCAUUUUAACUGUAACCAUCACAUGAAUGAGGUGUGGAAAGAAAGUCUUGUCAGCACCCAUAAAGUUUCAGAUUUUGGACCAUUUUGUAUUUUGGUUUUUUGCAUUAGGGAUGUUCAAUUAUAUUCAGCCCAAUACAGUCUCAGAAUUAAGGCAGCCAGGUACACAUUUCAAACCUGUGAUGACCCCAUGGAACAUGGUACAUCUGAAGCCUUCUCAGAAAAAAAAAGAUUAACAUAAACUUUAGUCAAAGAACUGAGGAAAGGAGAACCGUAACAAGGAAGUCAAUAAACAGGAAGUCCACCAAAUAUUUAAGACUUUAGCCUGUACCAUGGAAUGUUUUAAGAGCUGGGGAUAUGACAAUAACAAAAUCCCCGACCUUACAGAGCUUACUUUUUCUGGAAAAGAAGAAACAGAUAUUGUCAGAUACUGAGAGGUGAGGAGUGCUAUGGAAAAAAAUGGAGCAGAUUAAAGAGGAAAAAGAGCAAUGGGCUGGGGAGUGGAGGAAGCACCAUUGCUUUAUAAAGAGUGGCCAGGGAAGAGCCUCUUACAAAGCUACAUUUCUUUUUUUUUUGGUACCAGGGAUCGAACUCGGGUCCUUGCGCUUGCGGGGCAGGCGGUGGCACCACUGAGCUAAAUCCCCAGUCCUUACAAACCUACAUUUGACGAGUCCUGAAGGCACCAAGAGAGCCAGCUACAUGGCUGACUGUGGGCAGGAGCAGAGUGCACACAGGCUCUGAGAUGUGAAGACAACGAUGGUGUCACAAUGGCUGACGUGGAAUGGGAGAGCUGGGAGCUGAGGCUGAGGGCCUGGGACAGAAUAAACAGUCAAGAGACGGGAGGCUCUGUGCCUGGGCGGGGGUUAGAGCUGGACCCUGCCACCCAUGGAGUGCUUGGGGAGACAAGAGAGGAGUGCGGCUUCAGAGAUGGAGUGUGUGCAAAGGAGCAUGGGAAGAGGAAUAUGCCGUGUCACCUUCAGGAAAACUACAAAUCCUAUGAGGUCCACUUCAGAACAAGAUGGCUGAAAGUCUGGAUCUAAUAGUCUGUUGAAGCAAAGGGCCUCCCUUGGGUGAUAAAUCUGGAAUAAGAUUUCAUUUGAAGCCUACAGGAAAAAAAAAAAUUUUGAUGCUGCAAGAUGAUAGAUUCUGUAUCUCUUUCCCUCUGUUAAGAGGGAAUAUAAAUCUGAUGAUGGUCGCCAAAUACUCAAUAUAACUGUUAAGAGAAAGAUGAAGAUACUACAAUGGGAAGAAUUGAUAAUCAUUAAAAUUCUUAUGUAAAAAUAAGCACAGGUAACAAUAAAAAUCAAUCUAUUAUGACCAUGA
This is a non-coding RNA of Heterocephalus glaber (naked mole-rat), 6238 nucleotides long. NCBI's taxonomy places the organism in Eukaryota, Metazoa, Chordata, Mammalia, Rodentia, Bathyergidae. The record is from RefSeq and is a predicted model, not a curated record.